Molecule: long non-coding RNA, 1458 nt
Organism: Clupea harengus (Atlantic herring)
Lineage: Eukaryota; Metazoa; Chordata; Actinopteri; Clupeiformes; Clupeidae
Source: Ensembl
AUGUCUUUACCAGUGCAGAUAUCGUGCUGUUGAGGAUUCAGAAGUAUUUCAGAAACUCUCAUGUAAACAUUAAAAACUGUGCAAUUUAAAUGCCACUAGCAUUUGAGAAUGGCUAUUUUAGAAAAUGAUGCAAGAACUGUUACAGUGCUACACCGUCCAACAUUUAUGUAUAAGAGACGCUGACAUUACUUUUUCAAUGAAAGAAACAUGACUUCAUAUGUCAAUGGCGACUUCCUUCAAAACAAAUCUCAAUAGUGCCUAUCAUUGUGGCCAGUAAAAAAAUAAAGCUAUUUAUCUGGUUUGUGUUUUGAUAUUGUACAAAUAAGCCUACAAAAGCAUGCGUCACUACUAAAUUGUGAAAAAGGCAAAUUACAAGGUUUGGAAGCUGAUUAAUUGUCCAUGUAUGCACUUUACAAUGACUUGUGCCACCAUAUAUGAAUAAAAUGCAUAUUAAAAAAUGCAUAUUACAGUCAUGGAAACCCACCAAUGGUGGAGGGACACUGUGUGCACAAAAACAUGGGUAAGAUUAUGUAGUUAUUUAUGUGUCUUUUUGAUGUAAGCAUGAAAGAGCAUAUUUCUUGCACUUUAACAUAUCAGUUGACUAUAAAAGUAUCUGGACUGCAAACAAGUUAUCCAUUACAUUCGUUUUGUUGACUUGUUGACUCACAGACUUCAGGAUUUUGAUUUCAAAGGAGAUCUCUUUUUUUAUGACAAAAAAAAAAGGUUUUGCUUGCAAGUUGAACUGGAUGAAAUGGAUGAGAUCUAUGCUGAUGGAUGAGGGUUUCUAUUGGUGGGUUUCACUUGUAUGUUUGUAAACACAAGACUGACCUCGGUCCCAGUAAACUUUAUUUCUUUCAAUGUAGCAUUCAUAUUCAAAAAACUUUAAUUGUGAAUUGUUAUGAGGAUUUCCCCGCUUUUGACAGAAUAUGAUUGCAGAAUGAUUCUAUGUGACACCUACGUUUCUUUCUAACUAACAUGAGUUAUGAGUGCCCCACUCCCUGAGAAAUCCAAUACAAAGGGGAACAUGUUUAGUAUUUCAAUGCUUACAGUCCACAAACAAACCAAAAAUCUGUCAAUACCCUCUAUAGUCUAACUUAAUACUUCCUCCUCUGCGGCAGCAAGCCAAUAAGGCCACUAUCAGGUCAUUAACUGUAUGAGUAAGCAGUGCCUGAAGGGAUCGCUCACUGGUCUAGGCAGUAAUGCAGGUUUAAACUCCCAUGGUUCACUUACCUUAAGAAAACGUGUGGCCUGAGGAAUGAAAACAUGUAUUAACAGUGUUCAGCUAUUAUGUUUGCAUCUGUGGAGGUGUUCACAAGAGAUUUCCUGUGUGUGGGUGUGUGUGUGAGCGUGUGCGUGUGUAGGUGUGUGUGUGUGUGUGUGUGUGAGCGUGUGUAGGUGUGUGUGUGUGUGUGUGUGUGUGUGUGUGUGUGUGUGUGAGCGUGUGUAGGUGUGUGUGUG